RNAcentral lists this ribosomal RNA (468 nucleotides) under uncultured bacterium. RNAcentral describes it as "partial 16S ribosomal RNA". It matches the Rfam family "Bacterial small subunit ribosomal RNA", at positions 28 to 507 of the family's 1533-position model. The record is from RNAcentral.
GACGAACGCUGGCGGCGUGCUUAACACAUGCAAGUCGAACGGAAAGGCCCUGCUUUUGUGGGGUGCUCGAGUGGCGAACGGGUGAGUAACACGUGAGUAACCUGCCCUUGACUUUGGGAUAACUUCAGGAAACUGGGGCUAAUACCGGAUAGGAGCUCCUGCUGCAUGGUGGGGGUUGGAAAGUUUCGGCGGUUGGGGAUGGACUCGCGGCUUAUCAGCUUGUUGGUGGGGUAGUGGCUUACCAAGGCUUUGACGGGUAGCCGGCCUGAGAGGGUGACCGGCCACUGUGGGACUCAAAUACGGCCCAGGCUCCUACGGGAGGCAGCAGUGGGGAAUAUUGCACAAUGGGCGGAAGCCUGAUGCAGCAACGCCGCGUGCGGGAUGACGGCCUUCGGGUUGUAAACCGCUUUCGCCUGUGACGAAGCGUGAGUGACGGUAAUGGGUAUAGAAGCACCGGCUAACUACGUG